This 852-nucleotide ribosomal RNA is filed under the name uncultured archaeon. Its description in RNAcentral is "bacterial SSU rRNA". It matches the Rfam family "Archaeal small subunit ribosomal RNA", at positions 85 to 922 of the family's 1478-position model. The record is from RNAcentral.
ACUGCUCAGUAACACGUAGUCAACCUGCCCUCGGGUCGAGAAUAAUCUCGGGAAACUGAGGCUAAUGAGCGAUAGGUCAAGAUUCCUGGAAUGGGUUUUGGUCUAAACGGCGUGACAGCAUCUUGUCAUGUCCGCCCGAGGAUGGGACUGCGGCCGAUCAGGCUGUUGGUGGGGUAAAGGCCCACCAAACCAGUAACCGGUACGGGCUUUGAGAGAAGGAGCCCGGAGAUGGACACUGAGACAAGGGUCCAGGUCCUACGGGGCGCAGCAGGCGCGAAACCUUCGCAAUGCGCGCAAGCGCGACGAGGUUAUUCCGAGUGAUUUCCGCUGAGGAAAUCUUUUCUUAGAUCUAAAAUGUCUGGGGAAUAAGGGGAGGGCAAGUCUGGUGUCAGCCGCCGCGGUAAUACCAGCUCCUCGAGUGGUCAGGGCGUUUAUUGGGCCUAAAGCAUCCGUAGCCGGCUCGGUAGGUCUCCUGUUAAAUCCAACGGCUCAACCGUUGGUCUGCAGGAGAUACCGCUGGGCUAGGAGGCGGGAGAGGCGGACGGUACUCCGAGGGUAGGGGUAAAAUCCUUUGAUCCCCGGAAGACCACCAGUGGCGAAGGCGGUCCGCCAGAACGCGCUCGACGGUGAGGGAUGAAAGCUGGGGGAGCGAACCGGAUUAGAUACCCGGGUAGUCCCAGCUGUAAACGAUGCGAGCUAGGUGACACGACGCCUUCGGGGCAUCGUGGUGCCGCAGGGAAGCCGUUAAGCUCGCCGCCUGGGGAGUACGGACGCAAGUCUGAAACUUAAAGGAAUUGGCGGGGGAGCACCACAAGGGGUGAAGCCUGCGGUUCAAUUGGAUUCAACGCCGGG